Molecule: ribosomal RNA, 459 nt
Filed under: Salmonella enterica subsp. enterica serovar Typhimurium
Lineage: Bacteria; Pseudomonadati; Pseudomonadota; Gammaproteobacteria; Enterobacterales; Enterobacteriaceae
Description: bacterial SSU rRNA
Rfam family: Bacterial small subunit ribosomal RNA
Source: RNAcentral
AAAUUGAAGAGUUUGAUCAUGGCUCAGAUUGAACGCUGGCGGCAGGCCUAACACAUGCAAGUCGAACGGUAACAGGAAGCAGCUUGCUGCUUCGCUGACGAGUGGCGGACGGGUGAGUAAUGUCUGGGAAACUGCCUGAUGGAGGGGGAUAACUACUGGAAACGGUGGCUAAUACCGCAUAACGUCGCAAGACCAAAGAGGGGGACCUUCGGGCCUCUUGCCAUCAGAUGUGCCCAGAUGGGAUUAGCUUGUUGGUGAGGUAACGGCUCACCAAGGCGACGAUCCCUAGCUGGUCUGAGAGGAUGACCAGCCACACUGGAACUGAGACACGGUCCAGACUCCUACGGGAGGCAGCAGUGGGGAAUAUUGCACAAUGGGCGCAAGCCUGAUGCAGCCAUGCCGCGUGUAUGAAAAAGGCCUUCGGGUUGUAAAGUACUUUCAGCGGGGAGGAAGGUGUUG